CCUACGGGUGGCAGCAGUAGGGAAUUUUCGGCAAUGGGGGGAACACUGACCGAGCAACGCCGCGUGAACGAAGAAGUUAUUCGUAAUGUAAAGUUCUUUUAACAGGGAAGAAAGAGAAAUUUGACGGUACGUGAAGAAUAAGCUCCGGCUAACUACGAGCCGGCAGCCGGUGAAAUACGUAGGGAGCGAGCGUUAUCCGGAAUUAUUGGUCGGAAAGGGUGGGUGGAUGGCAUAGUAGGUCUGUGGUAAAAAUGAUGGGCUAAACCCGGUAGGGCAAAAGAUACUGGAAAGCUUGAGGGUGACAGAGGCAAGUGGAACUACAUGUGUAGCGGUAAAAUGCGUAGAUAUAUGUAAGAACACCAGUGGCGAAGGCGGCUUGCUGGAUCGAUACUGACAUUGAGGCACGAAAGCGUGGGGAGCAAACAGGAUUAGAUACCCGGGUAGUC
This 446-nucleotide ribosomal RNA is filed under the name uncultured bacterium. RNAcentral's name for it is "partial 16S ribosomal RNA". It matches the Rfam family "Bacterial small subunit ribosomal RNA", at positions 338 to 795 of the family's 1533-position model. The record is from RNAcentral.